UACGUAGGGGGCUAGCGUUGUCCGGAAUUACUGGGCGUAAAGGGCCAGUAGGCGGCCAACUAAGUCCGACGUGAAAUCCCCAGGCUUAACCUGGGAACUGCGUCGGAUACUGGAUGGCUUGAAUUCGGGAGAGGGAUGCAGAAUUCCAGGUGUAGCGGUGAAAUGCGUAGAUAUCUGGAGGAACACCGGUGGCGAAGGCGGCACCCUGGACCAAUAUUGACGCUGAGGAGCGAAAGCCAGGGGAGCAAACGGG
RNAcentral lists this ribosomal RNA (253 nucleotides) under uncultured bacterium. Its description in RNAcentral is "partial 16S ribosomal RNA". It matches the Rfam family "Bacterial small subunit ribosomal RNA", at positions 524 to 776 of the family's 1533-position model. The record is from RNAcentral.